RNAcentral lists this ribosomal RNA (397 nucleotides) under uncultured prokaryote. Its description in RNAcentral is "bacterial SSU rRNA". It matches the Rfam family "Archaeal small subunit ribosomal RNA", at positions 925 to 1308 of the family's 1478-position model. The record is from RNAcentral.
UAUUACCAGAAGCGACGGCGAGAUGAGGUCAGACUAAGAUCUUACCUGACGAGCCGAGAGGUGGUGCAUGGCGACCGUCAGCUCGUGGUGCGAACUGUACCGGUUAAGUCCGGUAACGAGCGACGUACCCUUAUGAAUAGUUGACCUAACCGGUUUAGCGAGUAAACCGGGCACUCUAGUUUCGGACCCGCCCCUUAGUUAAAGAGGAGGAAGGGAGGGGCGACGAUACGUCAGUAUCGCCCUGAAUCUCCGUGGGCUACACGCGGCAUACAAAGGUCGAUACAAUGAGAUGCAAUGCCGAAAGGCAAAGCCCAAAACCCCUAAACCGACCUAAGUUCGGAUUGAGGGCUGAAACUCGCCCUCAUGAAGAUGGGACUCCCUAGUAAUCGCUUGUCAC